AUGGUGUUGGUGGUGACUGCGAGCCCCGGCGGGCCCGAGGUGCUGCAGGUGCGCGAGGUCGAGGAUCUCUUGGUGCCGGGGGAGGGAGAGCAGCUUGUUGGGGUGUCCGCUGCCAGCGUCACUCACGACAACACGGUCCAGCGGCAGGGCCGGUACUCGCCGCUGGCCGGCGCCUCCCCCUACCCGGGGCUUGAGUGCUCUCGCACCAUCGUCGCGCUUGGGGCUAAUGCCCCCCGCGCUGGGCCGUCGGUACCAAGUGCCAAGCAUGCCCCCAUGGUGAAUUUGCUGAUGGCCGCUGCUGCUCUAAACCUCACUUUUUUGCAUAAGCUGUUGCAUUUGCAUGUGUACGCGCUGCUUACUGGCGGCGCGUAUGCAAAGAAGGUUGUGGUCCCGGCAGGGCAGCUUCUACCGACGACAGGAAGGGGGGUCGCUGACUGA
This 438-nucleotide ribosomal RNA is filed under the name Triticum aestivum (bread wheat). RNAcentral describes it as "partial small subunit ribosomal RNA". The record is from RNAcentral. Lineage: Eukaryota; Viridiplantae; Streptophyta; Magnoliopsida; Poales; Poaceae.